AUUUAUAUAGUUUAACAAAAACAUUACACUUUCACUGUAAAAAUAAUUCUAAUUUAUAAAUA
This 62-nucleotide transfer RNA is filed under the name Phyllotreta variipennis. RNAcentral describes it as "tRNA-Glu". Lineage: Eukaryota; Metazoa; Arthropoda; Insecta; Coleoptera; Chrysomelidae. The record is from RNAcentral.